ACACGGCCCAGACUCCUACGGGAGGCAGCAGUGGGGAAUUUUCCGCAAUGGGCGCAAGCCUGACGGAGCAACGCCGCGUGUGGGAUGAAGGCCUGUGGGUUGUAAACCACUUUUCUCAGGGACGAACACAAUGACGGUACCUGAGGAAUCAGCCUCGGCUAACUCUGUGCCAGCAGCCGCGGUAAGACAGAGGAGGCAAGCGUUAUCCGGAAUUAUUGGGCGUAAAGCGUCCGUAGGUGGUCUAGCAAGUCUGGGGUUAAAGCCCGGAGCCCAACUCCGGAUCGGCCUUGGAAACUGCCAGACUCGAGUAAGGUAGGGGUUGCGGGAAUUCCCGGUGUAGCGGUAAAAUGCGUAGAUAUCGGGAAGAACACCAGCGGCGAAAGCGCGCAACUGGGCCAUUACUGACACUGAGGGACGAAAGCUAGGGGAGCGAAUGGGAUUAGAUACCCCAGUAGUCCUAGCCGUAAACGAUGGUGACUAGAUGUGGCUCGUAUUGACCCGAGCCGUGUCGUAGCUAACGCGAUAAGUCACCCGCCUGGGGAGUACGCACGCAAGUGUGAAACUCAAAGGAAUUGACGGGGGCCCGCACAAGCGGUGGAGCAUGUGGAUUAAUUCGAUGCAACGCGAAGAACCUUACCAGGGCUUGACAUCCUGCGAACCCCGCUGAAAGGUGGGGGUGCCUUCGGGAGCGCAGAGACAGGUGGUGCAUGGCUGUCGUCAGCUCGUGUCGUGAGAUGUUGGGUUAAGUCCCGCAACGAGCGCAACCCGCGUCCUUAGUUGCCAGCAUUUAGUUGGGCACUCUGGGGAGACUGCCGGUGACAAGCCGGAGGAAGGUGCGGAUGACGUCAAGUCAGCAUGCCCCUUACCGCCCUGGGCGUCACACGUGCUACAAUGGCCAGCACAAAGGGUAGC
This 912-nucleotide ribosomal RNA is filed under the name uncultured Cyanophyceae cyanobacterium. RNAcentral's name for it is "bacterial SSU rRNA". It matches the Rfam family "Bacterial small subunit ribosomal RNA", at positions 324 to 1250 of the family's 1533-position model. Lineage: Bacteria; Bacillati; Cyanobacteriota; Cyanophyceae. The record is from RNAcentral.